RNAcentral lists this ribosomal RNA (229 nucleotides) under uncultured bacterium. RNAcentral's name for it is "partial 16S ribosomal RNA". It matches the Rfam family "Bacterial small subunit ribosomal RNA", at positions 524 to 751 of the family's 1533-position model. The record is from RNAcentral.
UACGGGGGGAGCAAGCGUUGUUCGGAUUUACUGGGCGUAAAGGGCGCGUAGGCGGCGCAACAAGUCACUUGUGAAAUCUCCGGGCUUAACUCGGAACCGGUCAAGUGAUACUGUCGGACUAGAGUACAGAAGGGGGCAACUGGAAUUCUCGGUGUAGCGGUGAAAUGCAUAGAUAUCGAGAGGAACACCUGCGGCGAAGGCGGGUUGCUGGCCGAUACUGACGCUGAGG